Molecule: non-coding RNA, 452 nt
Organism: Arachis ipaensis
Lineage: Eukaryota; Viridiplantae; Streptophyta; Magnoliopsida; Fabales; Fabaceae
Source: RefSeq, a predicted model, not a curated record
CUUGAAUUACUCCCAUGCCCUCUCUCUCUCUCUCCAUUGAAGAUGUGACAUCCUCCGGUGUCGCCGCCGCCGCCGCGGCUCGCGUCGCACGAGCUCCUUCCACCGCCGCUCUCAAUGCGUUUGCUCCUUUCGUCGUCACAUGAGCUUUCUCGGUCGUGCACUUGUCUUACGAGCUCCCUCCGCCGCCGCUCUCGCGCUGCUUCUUCUCUCCUCGUCGGAGGUCCGCUGAAGGUUACACCAUUUAUGGUCGAGUGAAGAUCCCCAGCAAUUUAGGAACAAAAGACUAUAUAAUUCCCAGAAAAGUGUCGAAUGUCAAAGUCAUACUCAAUGGUGGUCAGAGAGUUACUUUUUUGAGGCCUGAUGGAUAUUUCUCAUUGUAUCCUUUAAUUUACAUCUUCAUUUUAAACUCAUUUCAAUUUGCAUGAUAACUGCUAUUACAAUAAUACUUUAGU